Molecule: long non-coding RNA, 633 nt
Organism: Oncorhynchus keta (chum salmon)
Lineage: Eukaryota; Metazoa; Chordata; Actinopteri; Salmoniformes; Salmonidae
Exons: 8
Source: RefSeq, a predicted model, not a curated record
AACAGGAGGGUGAGGAGUCACAGGACAGAGUCAGAGAGAAACAGGAGGGUGAGGAGUCACAGGACAGAGUCAGAGAGAAACAGGAGGGUGAGGAGUCAAACAGGUAGAAACAGGAGGGUGAGGAGUCACAGGACAGAGUCAGAGAGAAACAGGAGGGUGAGGAGUCAAACAGGAUAGAGUCAGAGAGAAACAGGAGGGUGAGGAGUCAAACAGGACAGAGUCAGAGAGAAACAGGAGGGUGAGGAGUCACACAGGACAGAGUCAGAGAGAAACAGGAGGGUGAGGAGUCAAACAGGACAGAGUCAGAGAGAAACAGGAGGGUGAGGAGUCACAGGACAGAGUCAGAGAGAAACAGGAGGGUGAGGAGUCACAGGACAGAGUCAGAGAAACAGGAGGGUGAGGAGUCAAACAGGACAGAGUCAGAGAGAAACAGGAGGGUGAGGAGUCACAGGACAGAGUCAGAGAGAAACAGGAGGGUGAGGAGUCAAACAGGACAGAGUCAGAGAGAAACAGGAGGGUGAGGAGUCAAACAGGACAGAGUCAGAGAGAAACAGGAGGGUGAGGAGUCAAACAGGACAGAGUCAGAGAGAAACAGGAGGGUGAGGAGUCAAACAGGACAGAGUCAGAGAAACA